AGAUGUCUCCCAAGUCCCAGGCUAGCACCCUAACCACUGAACCAUCCAGUCUCUCACUGAAGCAUAGUUCUAUUCUAUUUGUUUUUUUAUAAUAUGCUGAGGCAAGGAAUACUAUUCCAGAGUUAAUCAUAUAGCAUUCUUAUCAGGGCCCCACAUGUAACAAGAGGUUACUGGCCUAGUGGAUUGGGGAAGCAGUAAAUCUGAUAUGCCUUGAUUUUAUUAAUGCUUCUGACAGUCUCAGAUGCUCUCAUAAGCAAACUAGGGAAAUGUGGUCUAGACUAAAUUGCCAUAAAGGAAAACUGCAAGUAUUUAGAAGAAUUCCCACCAGGUCCUGCUACAGAUGAUCAAUAAAGGUGGUUGUGACCACGUUUGUGUUUUUAUUUACACACAAAGAAAAAUUAUGAA
Long non-coding RNA from Dermochelys coriacea (leatherback sea turtle), 405 nucleotides. RefSeq lists it as uncharacterized. The transcript is spliced from 3 exons. NCBI's taxonomy places the organism in Eukaryota, Metazoa, Chordata, Testudines, Dermochelyidae. The record is from RefSeq and is a predicted model, not a curated record.